RNAcentral lists this ribosomal RNA (779 nucleotides) under Leptogium sp. RNAcentral describes it as "SSU rRNA". It matches the Rfam family "Bacterial small subunit ribosomal RNA", at positions 370 to 1210 of the family's 1533-position model. Lineage: Eukaryota; Fungi; Ascomycota; Lecanoromycetes; Peltigerales; Collemataceae. The record is from RNAcentral.
AAUAGCCUAACGGCUGAACCAGCAACUUGGAAGAAUGUAUAGCUAAAGCUAUAUGUUUUUGUAAAAAAAACAUAUUUGAUUUAUUCGUAUAAAAUUCUAGAUAGAAUUAUGAUAAUGACAUUAUCUAUCUAUAAGUCUUGACCAACAUGCGUGCCAGCAGUCGCGGCAAGACGCUAAAGACUAGUGUUAUUCAUCUUUAAUAGGUUUAAAGGGUACCUAGACGGUAAAUUAAGCCUUAAUCAGGGACUGAUUUAACUAGAGUUUAAUGUAAGGGUGCAUUAACGUACUAUUGAGUGUAGAGAUGAAAUUCUGUUAUACCAGAUGAUUGGCACGGGUUUAGGCGAAAGCAUCACCUUAUGUAAUAACUGACGUUGAGGGACGAAGGCUUUGUAUAGCUAAAAGGAUUAGAUACCCAAGUAGUCUAAGCAGAAAAUGAUGAAUGUCAUAGGUUAAAUAUUAGAGAAUAUUUAAAAUAUAAAUGAAAGUGUAAGCAUUCCACCUCAAGAGUAAUAUGGCAACAUAGGAAUUGAAAUCAUUAGACCGUUUCUGAAACCAGUAGUGAAGUAUGUUGUUUAAUUAGAUGGUCCACAAAAAACCUUACCACAAUUUGAAUAUUAUACAAGCGUUGCACGGCUGUCUUCAGUUAAUGUCGUGAGAUUGUGGUUAGUUCCAUUAAAUUAACGUAAACCCUUACUUUAUUUUAUUUUAUAUAAAGUAGUUCGCCGUUAUAUUGGUUAUAUAAAAGGGAGUAAGACAAGUCAUCAUGGCCUUUAUAUUGU